Perca fluviatilis (European perch) is the source of this 542-nucleotide long non-coding RNA. RefSeq lists it as uncharacterized. NCBI's taxonomy places the organism in Eukaryota, Metazoa, Chordata, Actinopteri, Perciformes, Percidae. The record is from RefSeq and is a predicted model, not a curated record. The transcript has 3 exons.
UAACAUGGAAGAACCCAGUCAGCCCCUUCAGAAGAAAGCCCCACAGAUUCUUACAGAGUAUGAGACUACAGGUAUCCUGGCAGUGCCAUCGAGGAAGCUCCUUGUGAAGACGUGCAUAGGAGAUUUGGUGGAGAGGUGUGGUUUUUACCCUCUUAGUGCAGAGAAGCAUCAUCACCACCUUCCCAUCCCUGAGUGUCAGAGCAGAAGGACAAGGGGAAGGAUUUGAGCAUUACUAUGAUCCAGUCUCUCACUGUGGAUUCCUAGAGACUAAACUGCACAACCUUAGACGCAAUCUCGAGCAAAAGCAGAGGCAUUAUAGGAAGCGAAAAGUGACCAAUGACUGCACUGGACCCGAGAAGCCUGAUACAACAGAGGAUGGGCAUGCCAGCAGCACAAAUGAGUGAGCCACCUUGAUUCAACGGUUGCGGCCCUCAGCUGAGAACCUUUCAGCGAUCAAGUCAGGCAUGGAGAAAACGUACACAUGUCGCAGAUCCUGGAUUACUAAGGACUCCCCCACUUUAAACGUACAAUAUGUAACUUUC